AGUGAACGCUGGCGGUAGGCCUAACACAUGCAAGUCGAACGGCAGCACAGUAAGAGCUUGCUCUUACGGGUGGCGAGUGGCGGACGGGUGAGGAAUACAUCGGAAUCUACUUUUUCGUGGGGGAUAACGUAGGGAAACUUACGCUAAUACCGCAUACGACCUACGGGUGAAAGCAGGGGAUCUUCGGACCUUGCGCGAUUGAAUGAGCCGAUGUCGGAUUAGCUAGUUGGCGGGGUAGAGGCCAACCAAGGCGUGGAUCCGUAGCCGGUCUGAGAGGGUGAACGGAAACAUGGGGACUGAGAUACGGCCCAGAGUCCUACGGGAGGCAGCAGUGGGGAAUAUUGCACAAUGGGCGGAAGCCUGAGGCAGCAACGCCGCGUGCGGGAUGACGGCCUUCGGGUUGUAAACCGCUUUCGCCUGUGACGAAGCGUGAGUGACGGUAAUGGGUAAAGAAGCACCGGCUAACUACGUG
Molecule: ribosomal RNA, 472 nt
Filed under: uncultured bacterium
Lineage: Bacteria
Description: partial 16S ribosomal RNA
Rfam family: Bacterial small subunit ribosomal RNA
Source: RNAcentral